UUGAAUUAUAAAGCUGAUGACUAAGGUCCC
This 30-nucleotide non-coding RNA is filed under the name Rattus norvegicus (Norway rat). Lineage: Eukaryota; Metazoa; Chordata; Mammalia; Rodentia; Muridae. The record is from RNAcentral.